This is a long non-coding RNA of Mus musculus (house mouse), 372 nucleotides long. RefSeq annotates it as predicted gene, 41387. Lineage: Eukaryota; Metazoa; Chordata; Mammalia; Rodentia; Muridae. The transcript has 3 exons. The record is from RefSeq and is a predicted model, not a curated record.
ACUGGACUGCUGGUGUAUCUGUGAAGUGUUUGUGAGUGGAUCGAGCUGUUGCUGCCUGCUGACCCAUGAACUAAACUACCGAUUUCCAGACAUCACAAACAGGAGUUGCUCCAAAGAACCUUUCUAAACAGGUUGACUCUCCAAAUACUUGCCCGUCACGACUGAUAUUCUUCUGUGAGACGUGAGCAGAUGCUCCAACAACUGUCUGGAGCCUUGGAGUGUGUGCCCUUAUCCUUGGCAGGAGAAGCGUCUAUUUUUAGGAAGGGCUACAGGGCGUGCAGAGACACUCAGCCUGAGCUUGUUCGCUGGCAGUCAACUGGCCCAAGACCAAAGCAGCUAAUCAGCUCCGGGUUUAUUUUGGGGUUGGAGGGU